This 314-nucleotide ribosomal RNA is filed under the name uncultured bacterium. RNAcentral's name for it is "partial 16S ribosomal RNA". It matches the Rfam family "Bacterial small subunit ribosomal RNA", at positions 495 to 807 of the family's 1533-position model. The record is from RNAcentral.
GUAUAAGAGACAGCAGCCGCCGCGGUAACACGGAGGGUGCAAGCGUUAUCCGGAUUUAUUGGGUUUAAAGGGUCCGUAGGCGGAUCUGUAAGUCAGUGGUGAAAUCUCACAGCUUAACUGUGAAACUGCCAUUGAUACUGCAGGUCUUGAGUAAAUUUGAAGUGGCUGGAAUAAGUAGUGUAGCGGUGAAAUGCAUAGAUAUUACUUAGAACACCAAUUGCGAAGGCAGGUCACUAAGAUUUAACUGACGCUGAUGGACGAAAGCGUGGGGAGCGAACAGGAUUAGAUACCCGGGUAGUCCCUGUCUCUUAUAC